CCUCUCGGGGGUAAGCGGGCAGAACUUGCAAGUAAUGGUGAGAAGAUUCAGACUUGGUAUUGGUGGCUGAGAGUAUUUGUUAAGCUGUUUGUUCGCAAACUGGCUGGUUUGUACUCUUUGAUCUGCUGAUAAUGCGUCGCAUUUCUUCUCAUCUUCGGGUUGCAUGCAACUGAAUUUGGUAAUCUAGGUGCUGGGGUACUGCGAAGCCUUGUUGUUUCGAGUCCUGGUUUCCGAUUACUUGUGCGGUUGUUAUAAAUUAAUCGAACAUGCGUCUAACGCGGUCAAUCAUUCUUACGAGCAGUGUGUGCACUAUUUGUGGACGAGUAAUCGUAGCUUGUGGUGUACACUGGUUGUCGGUGAGGGUGAUUUGGCAUUGUUCAAGUAUUGCAAUCUAAAGCAUGCGUGGUCUGCCUGU
This 415-nucleotide ribosomal RNA is filed under the name Onychiurus ambulans. RNAcentral's name for it is "partial 28S ribosomal RNA". The record is from RNAcentral. Lineage: Eukaryota; Metazoa; Arthropoda; Collembola; Poduromorpha; Onychiuridae.